CUCUACCAGCUCCACAGGUUCCACGGAUUCAGGGACAGACACAUCUGGCUUUACCGGCACCGCCGCAGACUCAGGGACAGGCGCCACAGCAGUUGCAUUAUGGCAGGGUGUAUAACCCCAAGCCACAGGAUGUUCAGGCACCUCAGACUAUUGAGGGUGUACGUCAGUUCCAGGCUUGAGCUUGUUCGUGCAGAGCAGAGACGAUCUUCCAUUCUACCGAAGAUGUAGGGUUUCUUUCCAGAUCUUGGAUUUGGGUUUUAUCUUUUAUUUUACUUUCAUUUAGUGUGAGACUUUUAUUAGGGGUCCACUAGAGAUGGAUUCCCGAGUUGUUCAAAUUAUGGAUAUUUGGUUUAUCAAAUUUAAGUAUUUAAUUAUUUAAGGAUUAUCUUUUA
Cornus florida is the source of this 392-nucleotide long non-coding RNA. RefSeq lists it as uncharacterized. The transcript has 2 exons. The record is from RefSeq and is a predicted model, not a curated record. NCBI's taxonomy places the organism in Eukaryota, Viridiplantae, Streptophyta, Magnoliopsida, Cornales, Cornaceae.